UAGGGAAUAUUGGACAAUGGGGGCAACCCUGAUCCAGCCAUGCCGCGUGAGUGAAGAAGGCCCUCGGGUUGUAAAGCUCUUUUGUCCGGAAAGAAAAGCAUUCGGUGAAUACCCGGAUGUUCUGACGGUACCGGAAGAAUAAGCACCGGCUAACUUCGUGCCAGCAGCCGCGGUAAUACGAAGGGUGCAAGCGUUACUCGGAAUUACUGGGCGUAAAGCGUGCGUAGGUGGUUGUUUAAGUCUGAUGUGAAAGCCCUGGGCUCAACCUGGGAAUGGCAUUGGAAACUGGGCAGCUAGAGUGCGGUAGAGGGUAGUGGAAUUCCCGGUGUAGCAGUGAAAUGCGUAGAGAUCGGGAGGAACAUCUGUGGCGAAGGCGACUGCCUGGACCAGCACUGACACUGAGGCACGGAAGCGUGGGGAGCAAACA
This 427-nucleotide ribosomal RNA is filed under the name uncultured bacterium. Its description in RNAcentral is "bacterial SSU rRNA". It matches the Rfam family "Bacterial small subunit ribosomal RNA", at positions 355 to 774 of the family's 1533-position model. The record is from RNAcentral.